UAAUAAGUAAUCAUGGAUAUAAAAUUAUAUGCAUUAAUAAAAAACAUAUGGAUAUAAAAUUCUAUCUGUACGUUUUUUUUUAUUUUAUUUGUUUACCAUAUAUACAAUUCCUGAAGAGGUUAUUUACUAACAAUAUCCUUAGUUAAUUAAGUGUAAUGAAUGGGAUUGAUAUGUUUUAUUAUAUGAUCAUGAUCGAAUCAGAAUUCAUUAAGUCACAAUUUAUAUGCAUUAAUAUCAUUCCAUGUGUUUUUUAUCAAAAAUCAGAAACUAAAAGAUAGUAUUUGGGUGACUUAAUUAUACUGAAAAGGGUAUUAUAAAAUAUUAAUGUGCAUAAACGGAAUUUGACAAUAAUAGUAAUACUAAUACCAUAAACGGAAUUGGAGAGAUUAAUGAUAGUUUGACCAACUUGAAUGGUUUACUCAUUAUUUUAAUUACCAUAUAUACAAAAACUAUCAUUAAUAUUAUUAGUCAAAAUUGAUGCGAUCCUUAAUAAUCGUAAACGAUAACAUGAUAUGGACAAAUCCACUAUUAAAUGGUAAAUUGAUGUGAUCCUUAAUAAUAGUAAACGAUAACAUGAUAUGGACAAAAUUGAAUAGGGGAAUGAGUAAUUGGACAAAAUUCAGUAAUUGCAUCAAUAAAAAAAAACGUGAGGAAUUUGAGAGAUAAACGUGAGGAUAAUAAGUAAUCAUGAUAAUAGCUGUAUCAUUUAAUUGGCAAGAUAAUUGGAGAGAUAAACAUAAUGUGUAUAUUGUUGCAUC
This 758-nucleotide long non-coding RNA is filed under the name Trifolium pratense (red clover). RNAcentral's name for it is "long non-coding RNA (TPRA_LNC005972)". The record is from RNAcentral. Lineage: Eukaryota; Viridiplantae; Streptophyta; Magnoliopsida; Fabales; Fabaceae.